UACGUAGGGUGCGAGCGUUGUCCGGAAUUAUUGGGCGUAAAGGGCUCGUAGGCGGUUUGUCGCGUCGGGAGUGAAAUCCACUGGCUUAACUGGUGGCUUGCUUUCGAUACGGGCAGACUGGAGGUAUGCAGGGGAGAACGGAAUUCCGGGUGUAGCGGUGGAAUGCGUAGAGAUCCGGAAGAACACCGGAGGCGAAGGCGGCUUGCUGGGCGUGAUCUGACGCUGAGGCGCGAAAGCGUGGGGAGCGAACAGG
This 253-nucleotide ribosomal RNA is filed under the name uncultured bacterium. RNAcentral describes it as "partial 16S ribosomal RNA". It matches the Rfam family "Bacterial small subunit ribosomal RNA", at positions 524 to 776 of the family's 1533-position model. The record is from RNAcentral.